AGUAAUCGCGGAUCAGAAUGCCGCGGUGAAUACGUUCCCGGGUCUUGUACACACCGCCCGUCACACCAUGGGAGUUGGGAAUGCCCGAAGUCAGUGACCCAACCGCAAGGAGGGAGCUGCCGAAGGCAGGCUUGAUAACNGGGGUGAAGUCGUAACAAGGUAGC
This 164-nucleotide ribosomal RNA is filed under the name uncultured bacterium. RNAcentral describes it as "partial 16S ribosomal RNA". It matches the Rfam family "Bacterial small subunit ribosomal RNA", at positions 1337 to 1500 of the family's 1533-position model. The record is from RNAcentral.